RNAcentral lists this non-coding RNA (17 nucleotides) under Mus musculus (house mouse). Lineage: Eukaryota; Metazoa; Chordata; Mammalia; Rodentia; Muridae. The record is from RNAcentral.
GGUGGGUGCAUAUGUUU